ACCUCNAAUCAGGUAGGACUACCCGCUGAACUUAAGCAUAUCAAUAAGCGGAGGAAAAGAAACCAACANNGAUUGCCCUAGUAACGGCGAGUGAAGCGGCAACAGCUCAAAUUUGAAAUCUGGCCCUCGGGUCCGAGUUGUAAUUUGUAGAGGAUGCUUUUGGCAAGGUGCCUUCCGAGUUCCCUGGAACGGGACGCCAUAGAGGGUGAGAGCCCCGUCUGGUCGGACACCGNGCCUCUGUAAAGCUCCUUCGNCGAGUCGAGUAGUUUGGGAAUGNUGCUCUAAAUGGGAGGUAUAUGUCUUNUAAAGNUAAAUAUUGGCCAGAGACCGAUAGCGCACAAGUAGAGUGAUCGAAAGAUGAAAAGCACUUNGAAAAGAGAGUUAAAAAGUACGUGAAAUUGUUGAAAGGGAAGCGAUUAUGACCAGACUUGGGCCUGUUUGAUCAACUUGGGUUNUCCCGGGUGCACUNUNUCAGGCCUAGGCCAGCAUCANUUNGUCGCGGGGGACAAAGGUUGCGGGAAUGUGGCUCCCCUCGGGGAGUGUUAUAGCCC
Molecule: ribosomal RNA, 551 nt
Filed under: Hypocreales sp. BESC103c
Lineage: Eukaryota; Fungi; Ascomycota; Sordariomycetes; Hypocreales
Description: partial 28S ribosomal RNA
Rfam family: Eukaryotic large subunit ribosomal RNA
Source: RNAcentral